Oncorhynchus tshawytscha (Chinook salmon) is the source of this 505-nucleotide long non-coding RNA. The record is from Ensembl. Lineage: Eukaryota; Metazoa; Chordata; Actinopteri; Salmoniformes; Salmonidae.
UGUUAGCACACUAACUAGCCUAGCUGCUCCUCCCUGCUGCUCUAGGCAGGUUCACAGUGUUAGCACACUAACUAGCCUAGCUUCCCUCCCUGCUGCUCUAGGCAGGUUCACAGUGUUAGCACACUAACUAGCCUAGCUUCCCUCCCUGCUGCUCUAGGCAGGUUCACAGUGUUAGCACACUAACUAGCCUAGCUGCUCCUCCCUGCUGCUCUAGGCAGGUUCACAGUGUUAGCACACUAACUAGCCUAGCUGCUCUAGGCAGGUUCACAGUGUUAGCACACUAACUAGCCUAGCUGCCCCUCCCUGCUUCUCUAGGCAGGUUCACAGUGUCCUUUCCUUAAAACAAAGACACACUUUGGCCCAGAAACCGGAUACACUCCCACUUCUCCUCCUUCUCUCUCUGCCUUUCUCCUUCUCUCAAUCUCCACCUCACACUUUCUUUCUCCCCUUCUCCCUCCUCACCCCGUCACUCUUUCCCUAUUUCUUUUUCUGCUUCUCUUUCUCC